RNAcentral lists this ribosomal RNA (264 nucleotides) under Klebsiella aerogenes. RNAcentral describes it as "partial 23S ribosomal RNA". It matches the Rfam family "Bacterial large subunit ribosomal RNA", at positions 1641 to 1888 of the family's 2925-position model. Lineage: Bacteria; Pseudomonadati; Pseudomonadota; Gammaproteobacteria; Enterobacterales; Enterobacteriaceae. RNAcentral also lists the same sequence under 3 other names. The record is from RNAcentral.
AUCGUACCCCAAACCGACACAGGUGGUCAGGUAGAGAAUACCAAGGCGCUUGAGAGAACUCGGGUGAAGGAACUAGGCAAAAUGGUGCCGUAACUUCGGGAGAAGGCACGCUGGUGUGUAGGUGAAGUCCCUGCGGAUGGAGCUGAGACCAGUCGAAGAUACCAGCUGGCUGCAACUGUUUAUUAAAAACACAGCACUGUGCAAACACGAAAGUGGACGUAUACGGUGUGACGCCUGCCCGGUGCCGGAAGGUUAAUUGAUGGG